This 254-nucleotide ribosomal RNA is filed under the name uncultured bacterium. RNAcentral's name for it is "partial 16S ribosomal RNA". It matches the Rfam family "Bacterial small subunit ribosomal RNA", at positions 524 to 777 of the family's 1533-position model. The record is from RNAcentral.
UACGAAGGGGGCUAGCGUUGCUCGGAAUCACUGGGCGUAAAGGGUGCGUAGGCGGGUCUUUAAGUCAGGGGUGAAAUCCUGGAGCUCAACUCCAGAACUGCCUUUGAUACUGAAGAUCUUGAGUUCGGGAGAGGUGAGUGGAACUCCGAGUGUAGAGGUGAAAUUCGUAGAUAUUCGGAAGAACACCAGUGGCGAAGGCGGCUCACUGGCCCGGUACUGACGCUGAGGUGCGAAAGCGUGGGGAGCAAACAGGG